Molecule: ribosomal RNA, 497 nt
Filed under: uncultured bacterium
Lineage: Bacteria
Description: partial 16S ribosomal RNA
Rfam family: Bacterial small subunit ribosomal RNA
Source: RNAcentral
GAUGAACGCUGGCGGCGUGCCUAAUACAUGCAAGUCGAGCGAACGGACGAGAAGCUUGCUUCUCUGAUGUUAGCGGCGGACGGGUGAGUAACACGUGGAUAACCUACCUAUAAGACUGGGAUAACUUCGGGAAACCGGAGCUAAUACCGGAUGAUAUUUUGAACCGCAUGGUUCAAAAGUGAAAGACGGUCUUGCUGUCACUUAUAGAUGGAUCAGCGCUGCAUUAGCUAGUUGGUAAGGUAACGGCUUACCAAGGCAACGAUGCAUAGCCGACCUGAGAGGGUGAUCGGCCACACUGGAACUGAGACACGGUCCAGACUCCUACGGGAGGCAGCAGUAGGGAAUCUUCCGCAAUGGGCGAAAGCCUGACGGAGCACCGCCGCGUGAGUGAUGAAGGUCUUCGGAUCGUAAAACUCUGUUAUUAGGGAAGAACAUAUGUGUAAGUAACUGUGCACAUCUUGACGGUACCUAAUCAGAAAGCCACGGCUAACUACGUG